UUAAAAAAAGAAAGCAAAAGCAAAAUCAAAAUCGAAACCAGACGAAGCCUCGACCUUUCCUUCUCAGUUCUCAUCGUCUCCGAACAACACCACGCACAAAAAAAAAAACAGAUAAUUCGCGAGCUCAGAUUUGAAAAAUCGACGGUUGUGGAAGGAAGUGGAAUAGAGUAGCGGAGAUUGUUGCACGUACACGAAGAGAGAUAAACUCGGCGGGAAAUGGGGACGCCGUUGCCGGAUUUCGAGGCGGCGAGAGGCGGCGGAGGAGUAGCGUCUUCGUCAGCCACGGUGCUCACGAGCACUAAUACGUUCACGGAGGAUGCGUAGGAGAUAUCUCCGAUCCUGAUUUUCCUCUUCUUUCAUAAGGCGGUAUGCAGUGAGCUCGAAUCGCUUCAUAGGCUGGCGCUUGAGUUUGCUACAGGUCACCACGUUGAUCUCCGUCUCCUCCGUGAACGGUACCGGUUCCUUAGAUCCAUCUAUAAGCAUCACUGCAAUGCCGAUGACGAGCUUAUGUGUAUUAUGAGGAGAAGCUCUUGACGGUUGUGUAUAUCUGUCUGUGGAUGUAGGUGAUCUUUUCAGCUCUCGACAUACGCGUGAAGAACGUAGCGCAGACGUAUUCUCUUGAGCACCAAGGUGAAGGCACCCUCUUCGACCAUCUGUUUGAGCUGCUAAAUUCCGCCACGGAGAUCGAUGAAAGUUAUCGAAGGGAGUUGGCUAGCAGUACUGGAGUCAGACAUCUGUUAGCGAGCACUUGGCUAAAGAACAGAAACAGGUGUUCCCGUUACUUAUUGAGAAGUUUAAGCAUGAAGAGCAAGCGUACAUAGUCUGGUGGUUUCAAGCGGACCUUGUUCAUCUUUCCUAUCUCAUGCUUAAGUAUGCUGCUUACCAUUUUGAAUUCUAUCUUCACCUGGUUGGGAGGGAAAAGCGAUACUAUGGCUUCGCGUGGUGUAGAAGAUUCUUCGUUCCAUUGUUGUCUAGAUUCUUCUAGCAGCAUGCUUCCGUGCAAAACUAGUAGAGCACAGUGCCCAUGUGAGGGAUCCAAGGCCGGGAAGAGAAAGUACCCAGAGCUUACCGAGUAUGAUGCUCCUAUGCACCCAAUUGAUGAGAUAAAAAUUUGGCACAACUCAAUCAACAAGGAGAUGAAGGAAAUAACCGACGAGGCUAGGAAAAUUCAGCUGUCUGGAGAUUUUUCGGAUUUAUCUUCAUUUGAUGAACGCUUGCAAUAUAUUGCUGAAUCUUGCACAGGACAAGAUCAUAUUUCCAGCAGUAGAUGGGAGCUUUCAUUUUCUGAGGAGCACGAUGAAGAAGAAAACCAGUUUAACGAGUUUUGAUGCUUAAUUGAAAAAAAUCAAAAGUGCUGGAGCGUCUUCUACUUCUGCUGUUGAGUUUUACACCAAGCUGUGCUCACAUGCGGAUCAAAUAAUGGAAAUUAUUCAAAGGCACUUCCACAACGAGGAAAUUCAGGUGCUACCCCUUGCACGAAAGAACUUCAGCUUUAAAAAACAACAAGAGAUUCUCUACCAAAGCCUGUGCAUAAUGCCCUUAAGAUUAUAAUUGAACGUGUUUUGCCAUGGUUGACUGCAUCUUUAACAGAAGAUGAAGCUAAGAAUUUUCUGAAGAACUUGCAAGCUGGAGGGCGGCGAGUUUCUCCAAAGAAAAAAGUGAAGUCAUGCUGCUUCUGAAAGCUCUUCAAGAUAUUGGUUUUGAUCUUCCUGUCAGGCUUUUAGUUGGAAGACCUGAGUUGCUAGUUUCUGAGGUGGAUGAAUGGUUCGAGAAACUGAAACCCAUAAAGGACAAUGCUGCUCUCAAUUUUGCCAAUGCUCUUUUGAAUCUUCUCUGGGCAUUUGAACUAAGAGCUACUGCAUCAUGGGUAUUCCAGUUGGCAAUCAAAAGGGGUAUCUUCAGUCGCGACGUUUUCAGGCCAGAUCCUAGUCAACACUUGUUUAGUGCAAACGCUUAGGUGUUUAGCAGUCACAUUAAUGAUUGGUUUUGAUUUUCAGGGUGGCGGACAAGGACUGAGGUGCUGAUUUUAGAAGAUUGUCCGCAGGAUGCAUCAACGGUAUCUCCCUGGACAAAACACUGAAGGCAUGUCUUUGGGAGAUAGGCUCUCCAUUUCUUCCCUGGAAGACGAAAACAGGACUUCUAGUGGCGAAAGCUCACUCUCUCAGAAUGUGGAAAGUCGUUAGGAGAUAUGGGUGUUUAUUUCCGCAUGCUAGAUGCACUGUUAGCUGCAGAAGAAUACAAAGAUCGCUCUGUGUCAGGACACUUUAUGUAAUGACUGUGAACGCAAAGGAAGGACACGGUUCCAUUGGUUGUACCAUAAAUGCGGUACAUGCGGCUCUUACAACACCCGUGUGAUCAGAUCAGAAACAACAACCACCCCAACCCCAGACUGCUCAACCUCAUCCUGAAAACAAUGUGAGAAAUUUUUCACUCUCGUUUCCCUUUUUCUAAAUGUUGAUUUCAGUUUCUGUUUCGCACAACGAUGUGGUGAAGAAGGAAACUUGUAACAAAAAGGUCCGUUGAUAGAAUGUUCAUAUGUACACAUGAAGUUAUAUGAUGUUGAGGGUUUUUUAAUUCAUGCUCUGUUUUAUUUUUCUUUAAUUGUAGACAAAUAAAAAAAAAUGGUUUCUUUAAUUGGGAAACUUAAAGUUUCCUCUUUUUA
Brassica napus (rape) is the source of this 2662-nucleotide long non-coding RNA. RefSeq lists it as uncharacterized. The record is from RefSeq and is a predicted model, not a curated record. The transcript is spliced from 11 exons. NCBI's taxonomy places the organism in Eukaryota, Viridiplantae, Streptophyta, Magnoliopsida, Brassicales, Brassicaceae.